GGCAAGAUGGCCGAGUGGUUAAGGCGUGCGACUCAAGAUACGUCUUAGGCUUCCCAGAAGUCUUUAGUAUUCGCAUAGAGAAAUCUGCGUGGGUUCAAGUCCCACUCUUGUCA
This is a non-coding RNA of Pseudovirgaria hyperparasitica, 113 nucleotides long. The record is from the annotation of a RefSeq genome assembly. NCBI's taxonomy places the organism in Eukaryota, Fungi, Ascomycota, Dothideomycetes, Acrospermales, Acrospermaceae.